UACGGAGGAUCCAAGCGUUAUCCGGAUUCAUUGGGUUUAAAGGGUGCGUAGGCGGAAUGAUAAGUCAGUGGUGAAAGCCCAUCGCUCAACGGUGGAACGGCCAUUGAUACUGCCAGGCUUGAAUUUCCAGGAAGCAACUAGAAUAUGUAGUGUAGCGGUGAAAUGCUUAGAUAUUACAUGGAAUACCAAUUGCGAAGGCAGGUUGCUACUGGUGGAUUGACGCUGAUGGACGAAAGCGUGGGUAGCGAACAGG
This 253-nucleotide ribosomal RNA is filed under the name uncultured bacterium. RNAcentral describes it as "partial 16S ribosomal RNA". It matches the Rfam family "Bacterial small subunit ribosomal RNA", at positions 524 to 776 of the family's 1533-position model. The record is from RNAcentral.